RNAcentral lists this ribosomal RNA (435 nucleotides) under uncultured bacterium. Its description in RNAcentral is "partial 16S ribosomal RNA". It matches the Rfam family "Bacterial small subunit ribosomal RNA", at positions 29 to 507 of the family's 1533-position model. The record is from RNAcentral.
AGCGAACGCUGGCGGCAGGCUUAACACAUGCGAGUCGAACGGGCAUAGCAAUAUGUCAGUGGCAGACGGGUGAGUAACGCGUGGGAACGUACCUUUUGGUUCGGAACAACACAGGGAAACUUGUGCUAAUACCGGAUAAGCCCUUACGGGGAAAGAUUUAUCGCCGAAAGAUCGGCCCGCGUCUGAUUAGCUAGUUGGUAGGGUAAUGGCCUACCAAGGCGACGAUCAGUAGCUGGUCUGAGAGGAUGAUCAGCCACAUUGGGACUGAGACACGGCCCAAACUCCUACGGGAGGCAGCAGUGGGGAAUAUUGGACAAUGGGCGAAAGCCUGAUCCAGCCAUGCCGCGUGAGUGAUGAAGGCCCUAGGGUUGUAAAGCUCUUUUGUGCGGGAAGAUAAUGACGGUACCGCAAGAAUAAGCCCCGGCUAACUUCGUG